ACAACAACGCUGUGAGGUUGUCAUCAGAGUCCAGUGUGGUAGCGGAGUGUUACAAGGAGCCCAUGUCUAUGUUCCAGGAAUCGUGUCCACCUCCAAAUGGGCUGGAGAGGAGAUUUCCUCUGACCCCCAAGGCCACCUGGCGGCCACGACAGGCAUCACAGUGUCCAGAGGGGACUGGUUUGUCCCCC
RNAcentral lists this long non-coding RNA (188 nucleotides) under Camelus dromedarius (Arabian camel). Its description in RNAcentral is "lncRNA (ENSCDRG00005012613.1)". Lineage: Eukaryota; Metazoa; Chordata; Mammalia; Artiodactyla; Camelidae. The record is from RNAcentral.